AGAGGGCCAGUACCUGCUCCGCUCUUUCCUAGCCCGCACCAGGCCUUCUCGUUUGUUUUUUGUUUUGUUUUGUUUUGUUUUGUUUCUUUAAAAUGGAAGCGGCAUCAUGAAAGGAUGCUUUAGCUCGAAGCCUCCUUUGAGGGAAGUGUUGGCUUUUACGGUUUGGAAGAGAAUUGGAUCUAUCUCUUGCAUAGGCGAUGUGCACAAAUCCUUGCAUGGAUUCUAGGUCCAGGAUCUGACCCCACUGGCUUUCACCUUGGAUGAGAUAGUCAAAUAUUGAGCCUCGGUUUCUUCAUUCAUAAAAUGGCAGUAAUAGUCGACUGUCUCGACAUUCUUACUUUCCACUCUCUCUUUACCCCCUCAGGCUUUUGUGCUCUACACACCAAAGGUGAUCGUCUUUCGCGAGGCACCAGUGACUUCCAUGUUGCUGGUGCCUUUUAUUACUUCUCUGUCCUGAUUUUUUUUCUACCUCUCAGUGGCUCUCAACGCAGUUUAUCGUCCCAUCCUUAAAACACAUUCUUCUCUUGCUAAGCACUCCAUACUUCCUCUCUCCCUUCCCCUCCACCCCUUCUCCUAUUUUAAUAGCCACUCCCAAGGCUACAUGCCCAGUCUCCCAGCUCUUUUCCAGAUGUGUUGUUCCAUAGGUGAGUCUAUCCAUUACCAUGCUGUAAAUUCUGUCAAGGAACCGAUGACUCCCACAUCUCUAUUCUCUGCCCUGUACUUCCUACCUCUCCGUCAAUUCAUACCAGUUGCUUACUCAUGUAAGCAUGUAUACAACAUGUAUCCAAAAGGCAUCUCAGACCAACCUACACAAAAUUGAAAAUUUCAUUCAUUGCACGUUCACCUUUAAUCUGCUCAUCCUGUAUUUUCCAUUUUAGGAAAUGACACCACCAUCCACCAAGUUGCUCAAGCAGGUCCUGAAACCCCAGACAGGAUUUCCCGGCCUUGCCGUGUAGCAGGUCACAUGAGCAGUACCCCAUGUGAAAGUGCCCCUCAUUAUACUUGGAAGAAAAGAGCCAAAGACCAAGAGAUGCCAAGAAGAGUCUGAACAAACAAGUCUUGCUAAGUUUCCCUCUGUUUGUUACCACUGAGCCAUACCUUUGUGUCUUCCUAGCAAACCUCUCCAUGACUGUCCAUGUUCCAUCAAACCUAAGCAUAAAAAUACACAAGAUUACCUGUU
This is a non-coding RNA of Chlorocebus sabaeus (green monkey), 1180 nucleotides long. Lineage: Eukaryota; Metazoa; Chordata; Mammalia; Primates; Cercopithecidae. The record is from RefSeq and is a predicted model, not a curated record.